This is a long non-coding RNA of Thalassophryne amazonica, 99 nucleotides long. RefSeq lists it as uncharacterized. NCBI's taxonomy places the organism in Eukaryota, Metazoa, Chordata, Actinopteri, Batrachoidiformes, Batrachoididae. The transcript has 3 exons. The record is from RefSeq and is a predicted model, not a curated record.
AAAGUCGGGAUAUUGAAUGUUAAAGGGAGAGAGUUGGGUGAUAUGAUGGAGUGGAGAAAUGUAGAUAUACUGUGUGUACAAGAUACUAAGUGGAAGUGA